UACGUAGGGGGCAAGCGUUGUCCGGAAUCAUUGGGCGUAAAGAGCGUGUAGGCGGCCCGGUAAGUCCGCUGUGAAAGUCCAGGGCUCAACCCUGGGAUGCCGGUGGAUACUGUCGGGCUCGAGUCCGGAAGAGGAGUGUGGAAUUCCUGGUGUAGCGGUGGAAUGCGCAGAUAUCAGGAGGAACACCAGCGGCGAAGGCGGCGCUCUGGGCCGGAACUGACGCUGAGGAGCGAAAGCGUGGGUAGCAAACAGG
This 253-nucleotide ribosomal RNA is filed under the name uncultured bacterium. Its description in RNAcentral is "partial 16S ribosomal RNA". It matches the Rfam family "Bacterial small subunit ribosomal RNA", at positions 524 to 776 of the family's 1533-position model. The record is from RNAcentral.